CCUACGGGAGGCAGCAGUAAGGAAUAUUGGACAAUGGGGGCAACCCUGAUCCAGCCAUGCCGCGUGAAGGAUUAAGGCCUAUGGGUCGUAAACUUCUUUUACAGGGGACAUGGUACUCUGAGAAUAAGGGUCGGCUAACUUCGUGCCAGCAGCCGCGGUAAUACGAAGGACCCGAGCGUUAUCCGGAUUUAUUGGGUUUAAAGGGUGCGUAGGCGGACUUAUAAGUCAGUGGUGAAAGCCCCAAGCUUAACUUGGGAACUGCCAUUGAAACUAUUUGUCUUGAGUACAUUUGAGGCGGGCGGAAUGUGUCAUGUAGAGGUGAAAUUCUUAGAUAUGACACAGAACACCAAUUGCGAAGGCAGCUCGCUAAACUGUACUGACGCUGAGGCACGAAAGCGUGGGUAGCAAACAGGAUUAGAUACCCUUGUAGUC
This 432-nucleotide ribosomal RNA is filed under the name uncultured bacterium. RNAcentral's name for it is "partial 16S ribosomal RNA". It matches the Rfam family "Bacterial small subunit ribosomal RNA", at positions 338 to 795 of the family's 1533-position model. The record is from RNAcentral.